AACGCGAAGAACCUUACCCAGGCUUGACAUGCAGAUGACAGCACCAGAGAUGGUGCGUCCCUUCGGGGCAUCUGCACAGGUGCUGCAUGGCUGUCGUCAGCUCGUGCCGUGAGGUGUUUGGUUAAGUCCAGCAACGAGCGCAACCCUUAUCAUUAGUUGCCAACACUUAGGGUGGGAACUCUAAUGAGACUGCCUGGGUUAACCAGGAGGAAGGUGAGGAUGACGUCAAGUCCGCAUGGCCCUUAUGUCUGGGGCUACACACGUGCUACAAUGGUCGGUACAGAAGGUAGCGAAACCGCAAGGUGGAGCAAAUCCCAAAAGCCGAUCUCAGUUCAGAUUGGAGUCUGCAACUCGACUCCAUAAAGACGGAAUUGCUAGUAAUGGUGGGUCAGCAACACCACCGUGAAUACGUUCCCGGGCCUUGUACACACCGCAUAC
Molecule: ribosomal RNA, 438 nt
Filed under: uncultured bacterium
Lineage: Bacteria
Description: bacterial SSU rRNA
Rfam family: Bacterial small subunit ribosomal RNA
Source: RNAcentral